GAGAGAGAGAGAGAGAGAGAGAGAGCUCCAAAACCCAGCUCUUUUGCUCCAGAAAGCCACUUCUUUUAAUAAGACUGGACCCUGCAGGUGAACUCGAUCUGGGUGCUGGGGGCCCUGGUGAAGAUCCCAUUGGUACAGCAGCAGGGAUCCUGAGUUGAAGGUGACAGCAAACUCCAUCUUGAUGUUGCCAUGAUUUCACAAAGGGUUCCAAAUGCCACUUCAGAGCUGAAUAGCCCUGUGUGCUGGAGGUUGUGGUAAGCAUAAGGCAGUGUCUAAGAACUUUGUCAUUCUCAACUGUGAAAUGGACCUAGUUGUCAUUGCUAUGUCUGCCUGGAUGGUGUACUUUGGAAAAUAAGUAAAUGUGAAGACAUUUGAACCCUGCACUAGAAUGCUGAUGAGGGGCUGGCCUGGACUCAGUGUGCACAAUGGAUUCUCUUGAAGCAGAGUUCAAAGUUGCUUCGUGAAAAUGGAACACUAAAAGAGCGGGUGACAAAACAAUGUACCCUAACCCAUAUAGCCAGUACACUCACUCCAUGUAGGAGCCAUACUGAAAUUGUCUGCUCAGCCUGGACUGGAUGAUGACAGGAUCUCUUCCUAAACCAGAGCUCAACCACUGGUUAGACUGGCUCUCCAGGAAACUCCCUGGAUUCUCCACCUCCCCACUUUGACGGUGGCAGACUCCCACUUCUGGAUGUAAGGCCCAAAGCAGACAUCUUUCUCCUCUUCAGCCAAAGCUUGCAACCUUUGCAAGAGUGAUCUGGAAAGCAAACACCCUGCUUGCCACUUGUUUCCCUCCUGUGUAUGCUGUUUGAUGGUUCAGAUUCAGCGGUUCAUGUUCCCUAAGGACAAACAGCAAGCAAAGCAUAUGAAUAAAUAAGUGCUCAACAUUUUGAAUGCAUGAACUUUGUUAUGCUUUUUGCAAUGAUGAUGACAGACAUUUUGCAAUCGAUUUUUAAGAGAGAUUUUGCACCAUUUGACAUAAUCUGAUGCCGUUACUGAUGUUUGAAGAUUCCUGCAUUUUUCCUGGGAUAAAGAUGUAUGUGCAAACUUAAAUAAUGGUGGUGAUGCUCUCUGCUAGUGAAUCUUAGGACUAUAAUUCCCUUAAUUGAAUUCAUUGAUCAUGCUCCCUUAAAAUAUUUCAUAUAAAUUAAAUACAAAGUAAUACUUAUUUUCUGUUCACCUUAUACUUUCUGUUGUAUUUUUCCCACAGAUCACGUUGUAUGCUCUAUCUUUAAAUUAAUCUUUAUUUUUACAUAAAAUUGACUUUUGUAUCAUUAUUCUGAUCUUAUGAAAUAUUUUAAUGUAUAGAUACUACAAAUUGUGACUAAAGGAAAAAUAAUUUUGCCUAACACAUUUGAUUUUAUCUUUCUCGAUAUAUAAAGAUUAUUGCCAUAUAUUUAUCACAUAUUAA
Molecule: long non-coding RNA, 1411 nt
Organism: Mesocricetus auratus (golden hamster)
Lineage: Eukaryota; Metazoa; Chordata; Mammalia; Rodentia; Cricetidae
Exons: 7
Source: RefSeq, a predicted model, not a curated record